CCCGCCGCGACCGGCGCACGGGUGAGUAACACGUAUGAAACCUGCCCGUAGCAGGGGAGUAAGCGGAAGAAAUUCCGUCUAAUACCGCGUAACAACCCAUGGAGGCAUCUCUGUGGGUUUAAAGGAAGCGAUUCCGGCUACGGAUGGUCAUGCGUCGCAUUAGCUUGUUGGCGGGGUAACGGCCCACCAAGGCGACGAUGCGUAGGGGUUCUGAGAGGAAGGUCCCCCACACUGGUACUGAGACACGGACCAGACUCCUACGGAAGGCAGCAG
Molecule: ribosomal RNA, 273 nt
Filed under: uncultured bacterium
Lineage: Bacteria
Description: partial 16S ribosomal RNA
Rfam family: Bacterial small subunit ribosomal RNA
Source: RNAcentral